This 425-nucleotide ribosomal RNA is filed under the name uncultured bacterium. RNAcentral's name for it is "partial 16S ribosomal RNA". It matches the Rfam family "Bacterial small subunit ribosomal RNA", at positions 354 to 796 of the family's 1533-position model. The record is from RNAcentral.
GUGGGGAAUCUUGCGCAAUGGGCGAAAGCCUGACGCAGCCAUGCCGCGUGAAUGAUGAAGGUCUUAGGAUUGUAAAAUUCUUUCACCGGGGACGAUAAUGACGGUACCCGGAGAAGAAGCUCCGGCUAACUUCGUGCCAGCAGCCGCGGUAAUACGAAGGGGGCUAGCGUUGCUCGGAAUUACUGGGCGUAAAGGGCGCGUAGGCGGACAGCUUAGUCAGAGGUGAAAGCCCAGGGCUCAAACUUGGAAUUGCCUCUGAUACUGGCUGUCUUGAGUUUGGUAGAGGUGAGUGGAACUCCGAGUGUAGAGGUGAAAUUCGUAGAUAUUCGGAAGAACACCAGUGGCGAAGGCGACUCACUGGCCCAAUACUGACGCUGAGGCGCGAAAGCGUGGGGAGCAAACAGGAUUAGAUACCCGGGUAGUCC